Molecule: ribosomal RNA, 467 nt
Filed under: uncultured bacterium
Lineage: Bacteria
Description: partial 16S ribosomal RNA
Rfam family: Bacterial small subunit ribosomal RNA
Source: RNAcentral
GACGAACGCUGGCGGCGUGCUUAACACAUGCAAGUCGAACGGAAAGGCCCUGCUUUUGUGGGGUGCUCGAGUGGCGAACGGGUGAGUAACACGUGAGUAACCUGCCCUUGACUUUGGGAUAACUUCAGGAAACUGGGGCUAAUACCGGAUAGGAGCUCCUGCUGCAUGGUGGGGGUUGGAAAGUUUCGGCGGUUGGGGAUGGACUCGCGGCUUAUCAGCUUGUUGGUGGGGUAGUGGCUUACCAAGGCUUUGACGGGUAGCCGGCCUGAGAGGGUGACCGGCCACAUGGGGACUGAGAUACGGCCCAGACUCCUCCGGGAGGCAGCAGUGGGGAAUAUUGCACAAUGGGCGGAAGCCUGAUGCAGCAACGCCGCGUGCGGGAUGACGGCCUUCGGGUUGUAAGCCGCUUUCGCCUGUGACGAAGCGUGAGUGACGGUAAUGGGUAAAGAAGCACCGGCUAACUACGU